AAGGGAAAACAGUGUUGUGUGUGUGGGUGGAAAUUGUGACGGGGACAGCCUUGUUUGAGGACAUCUCUUGCCAGCUCUAGGAAGAUGUAGGUCACAGCUGAGCUGCCUCUGCCUUAGCUUGGGCAAAUGCUCUAGCAACUCUUCUAGACGGCAAAUGCUGUUUCCAGUGAGAGAACAGCGUUUCCCAGCCAAAUCAUCCUUGGACUAACUACCUGUGAUCUAUAGCACAGACCAUAGCUGUGAAGAAAACGGGUAAGGUACCCAACUAGACGCCUAUCUGGACACAAUAGUCAACAGGAUGGAUACAGGGCGUUCUCUCCUGGAGAUGCCAGUCAGUUCAUGGAGUUGACUUGACUUGCCACAGGAGCAUGGAGGAUGGAUCACCUGCACCCUCCUCCCUCCCAUCCUCUUUGCCUCUUUAUGAGAUGCCUCUUUAUGGGAUAGCUCACAAGGUGAACAGCAACUAUCUAAUAAUCCAACUGGUGUCCCCUCUCCAAUAAGGGUUAUAACAAUCUCAUGUGGAUAUGAGAUCCUUACAGGGUAAGAAAUUUCCUCCAGUCUCAUUGUCAGUAGCCAUUUUUACUCCUGAAGCUAUGUACUUGGAGUGCCUGGACCAAGAUGGAGUAAACAAGCAAAUAGGUCCCUGAGUCCUGUGGGCACUCUGGUACUCCUAGCAGAGUGAAGGCUGUUCUGGAGCUAUUAGCAGCAUCACAAGCCACUGCUCACAACCUGGAAGGAGAAUUCCCAUACCCAACCACUGUGUGUCCCAGCGUGUGAUAUCCAUCCACAAGGAGUUCAUUCAAACUGGUCUGUUGAACAAUAAAAUAUCCCAUCAAACACA
Long non-coding RNA from Homo sapiens (human), 841 nucleotides. RefSeq lists it as uncharacterized. The record is from RefSeq and is a predicted model, not a curated record. The transcript has 3 exons. Lineage: Eukaryota; Metazoa; Chordata; Mammalia; Primates; Hominidae.